UACGUAGGGACCAAGCGUUGUCCGGAAUCAUUGGGCGUAAAGAGCGUGUAGGCGGCUUGUUAAGUCUUGCGUGAAAUCUCGGGGCUCAACCCCGAGCGGUCGUGAGAAACUGGCAGGCUAGAGUGCGGGAGAGGAGAGUGGAAUUCCUGGUGUAGCGGUGAAAUGCGCAGAUAUCAGGAGGAACACCGGUGGCGAAGGCGGUUCUCUGGGCCAUUACUGACGCUGAGGAGCGAAAGCGUGGGGAGCGAACAGG
RNAcentral lists this ribosomal RNA (253 nucleotides) under uncultured bacterium. RNAcentral describes it as "partial 16S ribosomal RNA". It matches the Rfam family "Bacterial small subunit ribosomal RNA", at positions 524 to 776 of the family's 1533-position model. The record is from RNAcentral.